RNAcentral lists this ribosomal RNA (120 nucleotides) under Jaculus jaculus (lesser Egyptian jerboa). The record is from RNAcentral. Lineage: Eukaryota; Metazoa; Chordata; Mammalia; Rodentia; Dipodidae.
GUCUAUGGCCAUGCCACCCUGAAUAAUAUACCUAAUCUAAUCUGAUCUCGGAAGCUAAGCAGAGUCAGGAAUGGUUAAUACUAGGGUGGGAAACACAAACAGUAUAUAUAUACAUAGAGA